AUUGAACGCUGGCGGCGUGCUUAACACAUGCAAGUCGAUCGGUAACAGGUGUAGCAAUACAUGCUGACGGGAGGCGGACGGGUGAGUAAUGCUUGGGAAUCUGCCUAUUAGUGGGGGACAACCCGGGGAAACUCGGGCUAAUACCGCAUACGCUCUACGGAGGAAAGCCGGGGACCGCAAGGCCUGGCGCUAAUAGAUGAGCCCAAGUCGGAUUAGCUAGUUGGUAGGGUAACGGCCACCAAGGCGACAAUCCGUAGCUGGUCUGAGAGGACGACCAGCCACACCGGAACUGAGACACGGUCCGGACUCCUACGGGAGGCAGCAGUGGGGAAUAUUGGACAAUGGGGGCAACCCUGAUCCAGCGACGCCGCGUGGGUGAAGAAGGCCUGCGGGUUGUAAAGCCCUUUCGGUGGGGAAGAAAAGUCUCGACCUAAUACGUCGGGACCUUGACGUAACCCACUAAAGAAGCACCGGC
RNAcentral lists this ribosomal RNA (475 nucleotides) under uncultured bacterium. RNAcentral describes it as "bacterial SSU rRNA". It matches the Rfam family "Bacterial small subunit ribosomal RNA", at positions 29 to 497 of the family's 1533-position model. The record is from RNAcentral.